UAAAAUAAUGAUGUGUUAAUAUUUCAUAAAAUCAAUACUAUUGAUAUUCAUAUAAAUUAAAAGUUCACUUUAAGCUAUUUAACAUUUUAUAUAAAUGUGAACGCUUAAAUAAAUUUUAAAAAAUUAAUACACUAGAGUAAAAUGUCUUAAUACUUUUAAUAUAUUUGUACAUUUGGACAACUACACAGGAUUACAGAGACAGAAAAGUACAGAGACAAUUUACAUUACAAUUCACAAAAACAGAACACAACAUUCAACCUUAAAAUUAAAAAACAAAAUUUUGCAUGUUUUAAGCUUAACUACUCCUUAAAAUAAAAACAAAAUCUUACAUGGUACAAAAAUAUUUCUCUGGGAAUGUUGGGUCAUAAUAAUAGGAAACAAGUUAAGGGUUAAUAAAUUAAAUAGUUCCUUUAACGAAUACAAUUUCUCCAAUUGGUACAAUAUCAAGUACUAUUUGUGUUGAUCUAUGGAUGUCAUGGAAUGAGAGAAAUAAAGCUUGAAUCACAUCACUUUUUCUUGAAUUAAUAGUUACAAAACAGUAGUGUUAUAAUAGAAAUAGUCACUUUUGAACAUGUUACUUCUGCAUAGUAUGAAAGUGUGUAUAAUAUUCAUGCUAUUGGAUAAAUUGGUUAAUUAUUCAAAGGUUAUAUACAGGACUGAAUGCAAAUAUACAAAAUAAAAAUGCUUAAAUUUACUAAAAUGGAUAGUUAUCCAAGGUUAUGCAGAUGACACAAAAGUUGUGUUAAUCUAUACAGUCUGAUACAUAUAUUCCACAUGCAGGACUCUUUUAAUUAUUCAAACUGUAACUAUAUUUAAUGUCCACUAAGAGAAUGGUAAACCGUACAACCUACACAAUUAAGUGAUUCCUAAGAGAAUGGUAAACCUUGCAACAUACACAAUUAAGUUCCUGACAGAGAUGUAAACCAUAAAAAAGAAAAUUGCUCAAUCCAAACCCAUAUAUCAUUAGGUCUAGCCCCAGUAGUAAUAAAUGUUGGUCCACUAGUUACUGAACCAGAAAAAAAAAAAAAGCCCAGUCAGGAGCUAUCAAGAUGAAUAGUUACACAAACAAACAAACAAUGUAUAUUAUCAACAAGUUGGUCAAUCAGAUGUAAAAUCAAGAACAUCUUUUCUAAAAGUAUUCUGAGAGGAAAAAAAAGGGCAUUACACAUUUUAUAUUUGCACCAAGUAAAGGAGAAACAAGUAGACAUUAUUUAAUUUCUAUUAUCAUAAAGCUUAAUUUUGAAAAAAAUGUAUAACUCAAAGAGAUGAUGACUUCAGAGACAAAUUAAGAUACCAUAGAUAAUAUUUGGGAGUAGUUUGAAGCAUUUUUUAAUGAGAGAAAAAAUAUUUAUAUAUAUAUAUAUAUAG
Non-coding RNA from Biomphalaria pfeifferi, 1368 nucleotides. The record is from the annotation of a GenBank genome assembly. NCBI's taxonomy places the organism in Eukaryota, Metazoa, Mollusca, Gastropoda, Planorbidae.